This 611-nucleotide non-coding RNA is filed under the name Selaginella moellendorffii. Its description in RNAcentral is "Eukaryotic large subunit ribosomal RNA". It matches the Rfam family "Eukaryotic large subunit ribosomal RNA", at positions 24 to 664 of the family's 3401-position model. Lineage: Eukaryota; Viridiplantae; Streptophyta; Lycopodiopsida; Selaginellales; Selaginellaceae. The record is from Rfam by way of RNAcentral.
CCCGCUGAGUUUAAGCAUAUCACUAAGCGGAGGAAAAGAAACUAACAAGGAUUUCCCUAGUAGCGGCGAGCGAAACGGAAAGAGCCCAGCUUGGAAAUCGGGGUGUCUCUGCACCCCGAAUUGUAGUCUGGAGAAGGGUCCUCUGCAGCGGACCGGGUUUAAGUCCCUUGGAACGGGACGCCAGAGAGGGUGAGAGCCCGGUCUAGCCCGGACCCUGCUGCAUCACGAGGCUCUUUCGGCGAGUCGGGCUGUUUGGGAAUGCAUCCUUAAGUGGGUGGUAAAUUCCAUCCAAGGCUAAAUACUGGUGAGAGACCGAUAGCGCACAAGUACCGCGAGGGAAAGAUGAAAAGGACUUUGAAAAGAGAGUUAAAAAGUGCUUGAAAUUGCUGGGAGGGAAGCGAAUGGAUGCCUUGUGCGCCCCUUGGUUGUGUGUGGAACGGCGAGAGCUGGUCUGCCAAGCAAUGCAAGGGGCUGUCCAGCAUGGGAGGACGCGGCGGGAUAACGGCUUGUGAGCCUCUGGCUCCCUGCCAAUGCCGCCGCUGCCUCUGAAAAUGGCGGGGUGCUCCGGUGCUGGAACUUGGGCAUUCCAUCCGACCCGUCUUGAAACACGG